Molecule: ribosomal RNA, 450 nt
Filed under: uncultured bacterium
Lineage: Bacteria
Description: partial 16S ribosomal RNA
Rfam family: Bacterial small subunit ribosomal RNA
Source: RNAcentral
GUGGGGAAUCUUCCGCAAUGGACGAAAGUCUGACGGAGCAACGCCGCGUGAGUGAAGAAGGUUUUCGGAUCGUAAAGCUCUUUCGUUAGGGACGAACGUGCUCUUUGUGAAUAAUGAGGAGUAAUGACGGUACCUAAAUAAGAAGCCACGGCUAACUACGUGCCAGCAGCCGCGGUAAUACGUAGGUGGCAAGCGUUGUCCGGAAUUAUUGGGCGUAAAGCGCGAGCAGGCGGGAUAUCAAGUCUGUCUUAAAAGUGCGAGGCUCAACCUCGUGAGGGGACAGAAACUGGUAUUCUUGAGUGUCGGAGAGGAAAGUGGAAUUCCAAGUGUAGCGGUGAAAUGCGUAGAGAUUUGGAAGAACACCAGUGGCGAAGGCGACUUUCUGGACGAUGUCUGACGCUGAGGCGCGAAAGCUAGGGGAGCGAACGGGAUUAGAAACCCUUGUAGUCC